RNAcentral lists this ribosomal RNA (252 nucleotides) under uncultured bacterium. Its description in RNAcentral is "partial 16S ribosomal RNA". It matches the Rfam family "Archaeal small subunit ribosomal RNA", at positions 474 to 727 of the family's 1478-position model. The record is from RNAcentral.
CACCGGCGUCCCGAGUGGGAAUCGCAUAUUAGGCCUAAAGCGUUCGUAGUUGGCUUUCUAAAUUUCUCGUGAAAUCGUUGCGCUUAACGUAACGUCGUGCGGGAAACACUGGAUAGCUAGGGACCGGGAGGAGUGAGGAGUAUUCUGGAGGGAGCGGUAAAAUGUGAUAAUCUUCAGAGGACUACCUGUGGCGAAGGCGCCUCACUAGAACGGGUUCGACAAUCAGGAACGAAGGCUAGGGGAGCAAACCGG